RNAcentral lists this ribosomal RNA (119 nucleotides) under Pteropus alecto (black flying fox). RNAcentral also lists the same sequence under 1 other name. Lineage: Eukaryota; Metazoa; Chordata; Mammalia; Chiroptera; Pteropodidae. The record is from RNAcentral.
GUCUACGGCCAUGCCACCCUGCACACGCCCAAUCCCAUCUGAUCUCGGAAGCUAAGCAGGGUCGGUCCUGGUUAGUACUUGGAUGGGAGACCACCUUGGAAUAUCAGGUACUGUAAGUG